CACAUGCAAGUCGAGCGAGAAACUUUCCAGUCGAUUCUUCGGAUGAAACAGGAUUGUGGAAAAGCGGCGGACGGGUGAGUAACGCGUAGGCAACCUGCCCCCUGCAGAGGGAUAGCCUCGGGAAAACCGGGGAUUAAAAACCCUCAUAAUGCGGCACUGAGACAUCUUGGAGCCGCCAAAGAUUUAUCGGGCAGGGGAUGGGCCUGCGUCUGAUUAGUUAGUUGGUGGGGUAACGGCCUACCAAGGCGACGAUCAGUAGCCGACCUGAGAGGGUGAUCGGCCACAUUGGAACUGAGACACGGUCCAAACUCCUACGGGAGGCAGCAGUGGAGAAUCUUGCACAAUGGGCGCAAGCCUGAUGCAGCAACGCCGCCGUGAACGGAUGAAGGCCCUUGGGUCGUAAACUUCUGUUCUAAGGGAAGAUAGUGACGGUACCUUAGGAGCAAGUCCGGCUAACUACGUGCC
This 465-nucleotide ribosomal RNA is filed under the name uncultured bacterium. RNAcentral's name for it is "bacterial SSU rRNA". It matches the Rfam family "Bacterial small subunit ribosomal RNA", at positions 52 to 509 of the family's 1533-position model. The record is from RNAcentral.